GGAGAGGUGGCUGAGUGGCUGAAAGCGCUCCCCUGCUAAGGGAGUAUGGGCUGAUACCCCAUCGAGGGCUCGAAUCCCUCCCUCUCCGCCA
Molecule: transfer RNA, 91 nt
Filed under: Gammaproteobacteria bacterium
Lineage: Bacteria; Pseudomonadati; Pseudomonadota; Gammaproteobacteria
Description: tRNA-Ser
Rfam family: tRNA
About the family: Transfer RNA (tRNA) molecules are approximately 80 nucleotides in length. Their secondary structure includes four short double-helical elements and three loops (D, anti-codon, and T loops).
Source: RNAcentral